This 898-nucleotide ribosomal RNA is filed under the name uncultured bacterium. RNAcentral's name for it is "bacterial SSU rRNA". It matches the Rfam family "Bacterial small subunit ribosomal RNA", at positions 11 to 915 of the family's 1533-position model. The record is from RNAcentral.
GUUUGAUCCUGGCUCAGGAUGAACGCUAGCGGCAGGCUUAACACAUGCAAGUCGAGGGGUAUAGUUCUUCGGAACUAGAGACCGGCGCACGGGUGCGUAACGCGUAUGCAAUCUACCUUUCACAGAGGGAUAGCCCAGAGAAAUUUGGAUUAAUACCUCAUAGUAUGUAUGAAUGGCAUCAUUUAUACAUUAAAGUCACAACGGUGAAAGAUGAGCAUGCGUCCCAUUAGCUAGAUGGUAAGGUAACGGCUUACCAUGGCAACGAUGGGUAGGGGUCCUGAGAGGGAGAUCCCCCACACUGGUACUGAGACACGGACCAGACUCCUACGGGAGGCAGCAGUGAGGAAUAUUGGACAAUGGGCGCAAGCCUGAUCCAGCCAUGCCGCGUGCAGGAUGACGGUCCUAUGGAUUGUAAACUGCUUUUGCACAGGAAGAAACAACGCUACGUGUAGCGUCUUGACGGUACUGUGAGAAUAAGGAUCGGCUAACUCCGUGCCAGCAGCCGCGGUAAUACGGAGGAUCCAAGCGUUAUCCGGAAUCAUUGGGUUUAAAGGGUCCGUAGGCGGUUUAGUAAGUCAGUGGUGAAAGCCCAUCGCUCAACGGUGGAACGGCCAUUGAUACUGCUAGACUUGAAUUAUUAGGAAGUAACUAGAAUAUGUAGUGUAGCGGUGAAAUGCUUAGAGAUUACAUGGAAUACCAAUUGCGAAGGCAGGUUACUACUAAUGGAUUGACGCUGAUGGACGAAAGCGUGGGUAGCGAACAGGAUUAGAUACCCUGGUAGUCCACGCCGUAAACGAUGGAUACUAGCUGUUGGGAGCAAUCUCAGUGGCUAAGCGAAAGUGAUAAGUAUCCCACCUGGGGAGUACGUUCGCAAGAAUGAAACUCAAAGGAAUUGACG